This 1367-nucleotide long non-coding RNA is filed under the name Marmota monax (woodchuck). The record is from RNAcentral. Lineage: Eukaryota; Metazoa; Chordata; Mammalia; Rodentia; Sciuridae.
CCAGGUGCUUGCUUGCACGCUGUGCACGCAGGCGUGCAUCGUGUGCGUGUGCACACGCGUGUGCCCGCGCGUGCGUGUGAGCGGGCGCGCGGGGCGGGGGCGUUGCGGGCGCCGCUGAUCAACAGCCGGGAGCGGGGCGGCUGCUGGCAGGCGCGCAAGAAGCUGUCCCCGGCCGCCAGCCGCUGUCGCAGCCCGGGAGGGAGGGAGGGCGGCGGGCGGGGGAGGGCGAGCGUUCGCUUCAGCCCUUAAUCACGGAAUUUGAAAUCCCAGCGAGUCGGUGCCAUUUAUUUUCCGGGGCUGUCAAGGCUGGUUUCAGCGUUUAAAAGGAAGGAGGAUGAACAGCAUUUGCGUCUCCCUUCCGCGGCCGCCCGUCGCCCGUCCCGUCGCCCCCUCGCUCCGCUGGGCCCAGGCGGCGUGGGGGAGGCGGCCGAGGGCUGGAGGCCGGGCCCCAGGCGAGGGCGUCGGGGCGCUUCUGGGGCGGGGACCAAUGUGGCCUAAGCGGCUCUGGUGGCAGAGGGACGGGCUGGCUGCUGGGGGAGGCCUGGGGCUCCCAGACUUUACCCCAGGAAGCGGCCCUGGACCCAAAGCUGCCCCAGCCCCAGGAGACCCACAUCAACGCCCCCAAGCCUAGAAUGCUGGGCCCCGAGGGCAGAAAGGGCACCCCCCGGGGACAAACGCUCUCUGGGCACACAGGGAAACUGAGGCCCGGUCACUGGCCAAGGUCACAUAGCAGCAGGACCAGGAUAAGAGGGGCAGCCUGGCACCUGGGCUGGGUAAGGGACCUCUGCCACCAGGCACCGACCUGCGUCUCAGGCACAGUGACCUUGCCCACUGUCCCGUCUUGUCUUCCCACUGGGAUCCAGCCUGUGCCCUGCGGGGCACACCUGCUUUCCUCACCUGCUGUCCCCCUUGCUCCUGGGGACGACUAGGGUGGCUACAGGAUCUCUCCCUGAAGUCUGCAGUUGAGGCUGGACCCCAGGGCCCUCUCUCAGAUUCGGUUUCCUCUGUGGAAUGAGAACUGGAACUACCAGCCAGGCCUGACAGGGACGUCCCGCAGGUGCAGUCCUGGUGGAGAGGCCCGCGCACGAGGGGCUCCCCGGCUGUUGCGAUUGUUUUGUCAUUUUGUCAUUGUGACCGUGUGCCCACCCCUUCCAUUCCACAGAUUCCGGGCGUCUCCAGAACCUUGCCCAGACCAUCUCAGAAUGCCUCCUGGCCCCGACUCAGCACAGUCACACUGGAACACCCAGGUGGGGCCUUGUGCUGGCGAAGACGGAAAGGCAAAUAUUGGGAGAGGAAAAAAGAACCCCUGGCCCUGUUGACAACACUUCCUACUUGUGCCUGAAGUGUGGCUGAUAUUUUCUGUCCUU